Vespula pensylvanica (western yellowjacket) is the source of this 887-nucleotide long non-coding RNA. RefSeq lists it as uncharacterized. Lineage: Eukaryota; Metazoa; Arthropoda; Insecta; Hymenoptera; Vespidae. The record is from RefSeq and is a predicted model, not a curated record. The transcript has 2 exons.
AAAGAGAGAGAGAGAGAGAGAGAGCUAAGCGAAGAGUGCGUCGGUGUAUGAGUGAGCGCGAAACAAAAAGAAGCAUUGCUAUACUAGUGUUGCUAUACUAUGCUUUUAGUAGAUUCAUGCAUUUCCCCGCUCGCUUCUUUACAGAGGCGCAAAGAUUUAAAAUCGACAAAAGUAAAUUGUUCGAUUGUACUUUGUUUUGAAGUUCUCUUUCUAUCGCGUGCACGUCUCGAAUCAUCGAAAAGGCGAUCAGCGUGAACGAUUGCCAGAUAGAAGAACGAUCGUUACGUACUUACAUACUCAUAAAGACGAAUAGAAAAAGAAAUGGAAAGCGAACCGGUAAAGAGGGAAAGGGAUAUAGAAAUAGGAACAGAGAGAAAGAGAAAAAGGAAAAGUUUUGAUCCGGUCGUCUUCAACUUUUUUACCCGCGUCUACGAUAACCGAUUGACACAGAUUAGUAUCGGCAUUUUCUCACCUGAUGAUCGCGUAUGGCAUUCUUCAGCUUGUUUUGCACGUAACGUGAGCGAGAGAAGGGGAGGAUGGGGAGCCUCCUCCUCCCCCCUCCCAGCCGCCAAAUCGACGAGAGCCGCGACGUACGAACGAACACCAGCAGCGUGCACUGCUACUACCACCACUAUACUAUCAUCACCGUCACCACUACCAGCAGCAGCAGCAGCUCUACCACUACCACCGUCGACGGCACACUAUACUACAGUACCACACCACUAGACCGCGAGAAGACAGGAGCGAGGCGCGGACGAGCGGAUCUCUUGAUCGUUCACACGCGAGAAUAUCUUUGAAAAAAAUUACUUUUUACUUAAGUUUUACCGAUUGACACUUUUCCGACCACACGAAUAAACGAAAUGGAAAUUCAGAUCGUAACGAAACAA